Molecule: long non-coding RNA, 551 nt
Organism: Homarus americanus (American lobster)
Lineage: Eukaryota; Metazoa; Arthropoda; Malacostraca; Decapoda; Nephropidae
Exons: 3
Source: RefSeq, a predicted model, not a curated record
ACAUUCUAGAUUAUUGUAAAUAUUCUAGCAUAAUAUAUAGGUCAUUAAAACACGUUUUUAGCCUUAUUAAUAGAGGGUAAAAUGCGAUAAAGGUAAAGGAACUGCGCACGCUGAGGAACCAGAAUAUUAGUAAACAAACAAAUUUACCUGUAGAGAAGCUGUUACCUUUGACAGUUAUAAAUAAUACUCAACUACAGUACCACGUUACCUGUGUAUGGGAAACAGCAGAUGCAGAGGAAGGUGAGGUCUGGGAAGUAGACCGAGUGGAUCGACCAACAAAGAUGCAUUAGAGAAACUGUCAAAAGUUCACCCACUUCCUUCACUCAUCCUGCAGUGGCCCAAGAUAAACUCAUCUCUUAUCAAGAAGUGAAGAACAAGGGACAGACUGAUGACAGAAGCUACAUCACCACCACCACCAGAUGACUGAGGCUACAUCACAACCAACAUCAGUUGAAUGAGGCUACACCACCACCGACACCAGAUGACAGAAGGCUACAUCACCACCAACACCAGAUGACAGAAGGCUACAUCACCACCGACACCAGAUGACA